Molecule: long non-coding RNA, 487 nt
Filed under: Physcomitrium patens
Lineage: Eukaryota; Viridiplantae; Streptophyta; Bryopsida; Funariales; Funariaceae
Description: long non-coding RNA (PPAT_LNC012852)
Source: RNAcentral
UUGCCGCUUAAAGGUCGAUGAGGCCGUCGCCGCGUUGCACCAAACGUUCAGCUCCCUACACUCUUUGCAAUUCUGAGCAUCACAUCCAUCGAAGGACCCAGAAAUCCACAACAUGAAUAUGUUAACUUGGAAGAGGAUCGUUUGCUGCAGGCAAACAAUUCGUGCUUUACGUGCUUUAGUGACUCCACCCCAAUUGCAAAGAGCAUCGUUGGUAUACGUUUUUAUCAAGGAUAGCCUUCCAAGUGAGGGCCAGAAACCGCCAGCUACUCAAUGUAGUGUGAUCGAUUUAGAUGAGCUUUGAGCUGAACAUAGAUUGAUCGAUCUAGCUGGCAACUGCUGCAAAUGUUGUACAAGACUCUGCCCAGCUCCUUAAUCGGAGCCUAACGUGGAUGCGGUGUGGAGACCAACGCUUGUGAUUUUUAGGCGGCCGACAACGCUCGAAGCGGCCUAUCGAAUACUAAUUUGCAUUUCGAUGCAGUUAAGCGAA